CCGUGAAAGUCCGGGGCUUAACCCCGGAUCUGCGGUGGGUACGGGCAGACUAGAGUGAUGUAGGGGAGACUGGAAUUCCUGGUGUAGCGGUGAAAUGCGCAGAUAUCAGGAGGAACACCGAUGGCGAAGGCAGGUCUCUGGGCAUUAACUGACGCUGAGGAGCGAAAGCAUGGGGAGCGAACAGGAUUAGAUACCCUGGUAGUCCAUGCCGUAAACGUUGGGCACUAGGUGUGGGGGACAUUCCACGUUUUCCGCGCCGUAGCUAACGCAUUAAGUGCCCCGCCUGGGGAGUACGGCCGCAAGGCUAAAACUCAAAGGAAUUGACGGGGGCCCGCACAAGCGGCGGAGCAUGCGGAUUAAUUCGAUGCAACGCGAAGAACCUUACCAAGGCUUGACAUGAACUGGAACAGCGCAGAGAUGUGUUGGCCGCUUGCGGCCGGUUUACAGGUGGUGCAUGGUUGUCGUCAGCUCGUGUCGUGAGAUGUUGGGUUAAGUCCCGCAACGAGCGCAACCCUCGUUCUAUGUUGCCAGCGCGUUAUGGCGGGGACUCAUAGGAGACUGCCGGGGUCAACUCGGAGGAAGGUGGGGACGACGUCAAAUCAUCAUGCCCCUUAUGUCUUGGGCUUCACGCAUGCUACAAUGGCCGGUACAAAGGGUUGCGAUACUGUGAGGUGGAGCUAAUCCCAAAAAGCCGGUCUCAGUUCGGAUUGAGGUCUGCAACUCGACCUCAUGAAGUCGGAGUCGCUAGUAAUCGCAGAUCAGCAACGCUGCGGUGAAUACGUUCCCGGGCCUUGUACACACCGCCCGUCAAGUCACGAAAGUUGGUAACACCCGAAGCCGGUGGCCUAACCCC
Molecule: ribosomal RNA, 853 nt
Filed under: Arthrobacter sp. M1JuL2
Lineage: Bacteria; Bacillati; Actinomycetota; Actinomycetes; Micrococcales; Micrococcaceae
Description: bacterial SSU rRNA
Rfam family: Bacterial small subunit ribosomal RNA
Source: RNAcentral